Oenanthe melanoleuca is the source of this 523-nucleotide long non-coding RNA. RefSeq lists it as uncharacterized. The transcript has 4 exons. The record is from RefSeq and is a predicted model, not a curated record. NCBI's taxonomy places the organism in Eukaryota, Metazoa, Chordata, Aves, Passeriformes, Muscicapidae.
CCUAACUCAGCACUGCCUCUUUCUGCGAGACCAGGAAACAGCCCCGCUUACAGCCCUCCGCGCAGGGAAGCCGAAGGAGAAAGUGGCUCCCUUGCUCAGGUGAGAAGUGUUAAAUCAAGGAAAAGAAACUGGUGCUGUCUACUUUGAGCACACAUCAGGGGAAGGUGAAAAGGACAGGACCCAGAAAGUGAACAGGUCCUGCUCCACCUGUGGUUGGGUAAAAUGGUCAAUAUGAAGACUAAGCAGAUACAUUACUUAUAUAGAUGACUAUUCCAUCUGCAUACCUACGUGGGAGAGGGAAAAAUAAUCUUAAACAAAGCACGAUAAUCUCCUGGAAACCUAUUCUUCACAAUAUGCAAAUCUCCAGGAACUGCAUUUCUGAUCCCGAUGCAACAGCACAAAAGCUAUUGUCGUAAGAAAUGGUUUAACCUGUCAGCAACACUGUCACUACAAUUACUACCACUAAUAAAGAUAUGAUCAUAAUCUGCCACUUAAGGAUCAUUAGAUAGAUUAUGACUAUUGU